This 762-nucleotide long non-coding RNA is filed under the name Hordeum vulgare. RNAcentral describes it as "long non-coding RNA (HVUL_LNC011063)". The record is from RNAcentral. Lineage: Eukaryota; Viridiplantae; Streptophyta; Magnoliopsida; Poales; Poaceae.
UUUGAUUUUGGAGAUCGUGGGCGGCUGGAGCCGAGCAAGAUCAGGCCAUUCAUGGUGAGCAUGCUGGCCGGCGGCAGCAGGGACGGUAAUUGAUUCCUUUACCUGAAGUGAACCAAACAAAUUUAAGAAAAACUCACUGCACCUCCUUAAACGGUGUGAUCUGAUUACAUUUACCAUUGCCGUUACCAUUUGUGUAGCCAAACACCUCCUAUGUGAUUUUGGUUUGCACAACCAAAAAUAUCAGUAAUAGUUGUAGGCUUAAACCAAUCCCAAUCCACAACUCUCCGUCACAAGAAUUUUCAACCGAUUCUACACAUGAGGAACAUCCAAACAUCCAAUUCAAACACAUGAACCUGCGCGGACGAAAUUGAUUCAAGUAAUACCGACAUGAGCAGAACAAAUUCCGAUCGCAUAUCCAUGGUUCAUUGAAAUGAUGAUUCAGUUGUCCAGGCAGAACGACACAACCAGGCCAGCUCGAAUAAAUCCCACAAUUUGCAGGGUCUGGUUAACAACUCACAAAGAAAUUGUCACAAAUCCUAAGGUACCAGCACUCCCAUUAGGCGCAAGUACAAAGUCACUACACCGAGUGGCUCGAUUCUAGCAUACGCGCAAGUUUCUGAAUUUCCCAAGUAAAAGCAGCACGAGUGAGCAGGCAGCCCUAUCGAAGUUCCAAACAUAGACAUACUAUAUAAGUGUGUAUGUACCGAACGAGCAGCAUACCAAGAGAAAGGGAAGGAGGGGAAGAGAAAAGGAGGUGUUGGU